Molecule: long non-coding RNA, 2825 nt
Organism: Eriocheir sinensis (Chinese mitten crab)
Lineage: Eukaryota; Metazoa; Arthropoda; Malacostraca; Decapoda; Varunidae
Exons: 2
Source: RefSeq, a predicted model, not a curated record
AGAGACAUUUGAGAGAGAGAGAGAGAGAGAGAGAGAGAGAGAGAGAGAGAGAGAGAGAGAGAGAGAGAGAGAGAGAUAGAGAGAGAGAGAGAGAGAGAGAGAGAGAGAGAGAGAGAGAGAGAGAGAGAGAGACUACCAUGCAAUACUAUGAUCAUGCCAUGCAACAAACAAACAAACAAACAAACACUUUACACUACCAUGCAACAUAACAAUAAUAAUAAUAAUAAUAAUAAUAAUAAUAAUAAUAAUAAUAAUAAUAAUAAUAAUAACUACUACUAUUACUAUCCAACUAUCUAUCUAUCUAUCUAUCUAUCUAUCUAUCUAUCUAUUGACAAGCAUACAGGUAAAAUAGCAAUAAUAAUAAUAAUAAUAAUAAUAAUAAUAAUAAUAAUAAUAAUAAUAAUAAUAAUAAUGGGUUAGGUUGGUGCGUGCAUAGGUGCUGUAAUAGUAAUAAUAAUAAUAAUAAUAAUAAUAAUAAUAAUAAUAAUAAUAAUAAUAAUAAUAAUAAUAAUAAUAAUAAUAAUAAUAAUAAUAAUAAUAAAAGUUCAACAAAGCUUCACACAAUGGCUCGAAAAUGCUCCAAAAAAUGCUCCAAAAAAUGGCUUUAAAAAUAUUACAAAAGGCUUCAGGAAAUGUCUCAAAAAAGUGCCUCAAAAAUGUUUUAAAAAUGGCUGAAAAUAAUUAAUAAAUGGCUUCAAAAAUGCUUCAAAAAUGGCUUCAAAAAUAUCACAAAAGGCUUCAAGAAAUGUCUCAAAAACGUGCCUCAAAAAAUGCUUCAAAAAUGACUUAAAAUAUUCAGUACAUGGCUUCAAAAAUGCUUUAAAAAUUAUGAAGAAAUUAAAAAAAUGCUCAUCACAAAGGCCUUCUCACACAUCAAUGCCUCGAAAAUGCUUUAAAAAUAUGAAGAAAUUAAAAAAAUGCUGAUCACAAAGGCUUUCUCACACAUCAAUGCCUCAAAAAUGUUUUAAAAAUAUGAAGAAAUUAAAAAAAUGCUCAUCACAAAGGCUUUCUAACACAUCAAUGCCUCAAAAAUGCUUUAAAAAUAUGAAGAAAUUAAAAAAAUGCUCAUCACAAAGGCCUUCCUCACACAUCAAUGCUUCAAAAAUGCUUUAAAAAUAUGAAAUUAAAAAAAUGCUCGUCACAAAGCCUUCCUCACACAUCAAUGCCUCGAAAAUGCUUGAAAAAUAUGAAGAAAUUAAAAAAAUGCUGAUCACAAAGGCUUUCUCACACAUCAAUGCCUCGAAAAUGCUUUAAAAAUAUGAAGAAAUUAAAAAAAUGCUGAUCACAAAGGCUUUCUCACACAUCAAUGCCUCGAAAAUGCUUUAAAAAUAUGAAGAAAUUAAAAAAAUGCUCAUCUCAAAGCCUUCCUCACACAUCAAUGCCUCGAAAAUGCUUGAAAAAUGUGAAGAAAUUAAAAAAAAUGCUCAUCACAAAGGCUUUCUAACACAUCAAUGCCUCAAAAAUACUUUAAAAAUAUGAAGAAAUUAAAAAAAUGCUCAUCUCAAAGCCUUCCUCACACAUCAAUGCUUCAAAAAUGCUUCAAAAAUGCUUCAUGUUAUUAGUGAGUCAGUGAAUAGGUGUGUGCAUUGAAUAACACAUGAAUGAAUGAAUGAAUAAAUCUAUGGAAACUAUUGAAUGUAUAUAUAUAAAUUACUGCAUUGAAACUGUACUGAAUUUAUAUAUAAGUUGCUCUAUUGAAACUUUCCUGUAUAAAUUAAUUGAUAUAUAUAUAUGAAUUAAUAGAUGAGAUUGUUGAUGAAUAAAAUUAAUUGGUAUAUUAAAGCUACAGAAAAUAUACAUUGAAUUAAAACUUGUAUAUAAAUUAAUUAAUAUAUAUAAGUUGCUCUAUUGAAACUUUCCUGUAUAAAUUAAUUGAUAUAUAUAUAAGAAUUAAUAGAUGAGUUUGUUGAUGAAUAAAAUUAAUUGAUUUACUGAAGCUACAGAAAAUAUACAUUGAAUUAAAACAUAUAUAUAAAUUAAUUAAUAUAUAUAUAAGUUGCUCUAUUGAAACUUUCCUGUAUAAAUUAAUUGAUAUAUAUAUAUGAAUUAAUAGAUGAGUUUGUUGAUGAAUAAAAUUACUUGAUUUACUGAAGCUACAGAAAAUAUACAUUGAAUUAAAACUUGUAUAUAAAUUAAUUAAUAUAUAUAUAAGUUGCUCUAUUGAGACUUUCCUGUAUAAAUUAAUUGAUAUAUAUAUGAAUUAAUAGAUGAGAUUGUUAAUGAGUAAAAUUACUUGAUUUACUGAAGCUAAUGAAAAAAUACAUUAAAUUAAAACUUGUGUAUAAAUUAAUUAAUAUAUUUGAACUUUAAGUAAUUUUUCUACUUGUAAAAAUUGAGGCAAAAAUAUUGAAGCUUGUUAAAUACUAUUACUAAUACUAAUAACGGUAAUUACUCUCAUUAACUUUGCAAAUAAUUAAAAUAGAAUAUAUAUUGCUGACUAGAAAGCAAUUACAGAGAAGAGGAGGAGGAGGAGGAGGAGGAGAAUGAGAAAAAGAGAAAGAAAUAAACAGACCAGGGAGAAGAAGAAGAAGAAGAAGAAGAAGAAGAAGAGGAAGAGGAGGAGGAGGAGGAGGGAGAGAAUGAGAAAAAGAGAAAGAAAUAAACAGACCAGGGAGAAGAAGAAGAAGAAGAAGAAGAAGAAGAAGAGGAGGAGGAGGAAGAGAAAAAAAGAGAAAGAAAUAAACAGACCAGGAAGAAGAAGAAGAAGAAGAAGAAGAAGAAGAAGAAGAGGAGGAGGAGGAAGAGAAAAAAAGAGAAAGAAAUAAACAGACCAGGAAGAAGAAGAAGAAGAAGAAGAAGAAGAAGAGGAGGAGGAGGAGGAGGAA